GGAGGCGUAGCUCAAUAGCAGAGCAGCCGGCUCUUAACCGGCAGGCUGUGGGUGCAAGUCCCACCGCCUCCACCA
Molecule: transfer RNA, 75 nt
Filed under: Opitutaceae bacterium
Lineage: Bacteria; Pseudomonadati; Verrucomicrobiota; Opitutia; Opitutales; Opitutaceae
Description: tRNA-Lys
Rfam family: tRNA
About the family: Transfer RNA (tRNA) molecules are approximately 80 nucleotides in length.
Source: RNAcentral